GUGAGGAAUUUUCCGCAAUGGGCGAAAGCCUGACGGAGCAAUGCCGCGUGAAGGAUGAAGGCCUAUGGGUUGUAAACUUCUUUUCUUAGAGAAGAAUAUUGACGGUAUCUGAGGAAUAGCAUCGGCUAACUCUGUGCCAGCAGCCGCGGUAAGACAGAGGAUGCAAGCGUUAUCCGGAAUGAUUGGGCGUAAAGCGUCUGUAGGUGGAUUCAAAAGUCUCCUGUCAAAGAUCAGGGCUUAACCCUGGGCCGGCAGGAGAAACUCUGGGGCUAGAGUUUGGUAGGGGCAGAGGGAAUUCCCGGAGGAGCGGUGAAAUGCGUAGAGAUCGGGAGGAACACCAAAGGCGAAAGCACUCUGCUGGGCCACAACUGACACUGAGAGACGAAAGCGAGGGGAGCAAAAGGGAUUAGAAACCCGAGUAGUCC
Molecule: ribosomal RNA, 425 nt
Filed under: uncultured bacterium
Lineage: Bacteria
Description: partial 16S ribosomal RNA
Rfam family: Bacterial small subunit ribosomal RNA
Source: RNAcentral